AGAGUUUGAUCAUGGCUCAGAAUGAACGCUGGCGGCGUGCUUAACACAUGCAAGUCGAGCGAGGCCUGGGGGGCAACUCCCAGAGUCGAGCGGCGGACGGGUGAGUAACACGUGGGUAACCUGCCCGGAAGUGGGGAAUACCUCGGGGAAACUCGAGCUAAUACCGCAUGACAUCUCGGGGACGAAAGUUCCUGCGAUCAAAGCGGGGUCGCAAGAUCUCGCGCUACCGGAUGGGCCCGCGCCCGAUUAGCUAGUUGGUGAGGUAACGGCUCACCAAGGCUUCGAUCGGUAACCGGCCUGAGAGGGCGAUCGGUCACACCGGAACUGAGACACGGUCCGGACUCCUACGGGAGGCAGCAGUGGGGAAUCUUGCGCAAUGGGCGAAAGCCUGACGCAGCAACGCCGCGUGGAGGAUGAAGGCCCUUGGGUUGUAAACUCCUGUCGGCUGGGAAGAAAUCGUGCGGUGCUCAUACCAUCGCGCGUUGACUGUACCAGCAAAGGAAGCCCCGGCUAACUCUGUGCCAGCAGCCGCGGUAAUACAGAGGGGGCCAGCGUUAUUCGGAAUUAUUGGGCGUAAAGGGCGCGUAGGCGGCCAUGCGUGUCUUCCGUGAAAUCCCUCGGCUUAACUGAGGACGUGCGGAAGAAACUGCAAGGCUCGAGUCCGGGAGAGGGGGGUGGAAUUCCCAGUGUAGCGGUGAAAUGCGUAGAUAUUGGGAGGAACACCGGUGGCGAAGGCGGCCCCCUGGACCGGUACUGACGCUGAUGCGCGAAAGCGUGGGGAGCAAACGGGAUUAGAUACCCCUGUAGUCC
RNAcentral lists this ribosomal RNA (810 nucleotides) under uncultured bacterium. Its description in RNAcentral is "bacterial SSU rRNA". It matches the Rfam family "Bacterial small subunit ribosomal RNA", at positions 8 to 796 of the family's 1533-position model. The record is from RNAcentral.